Sus scrofa (pig) is the source of this 1253-nucleotide non-coding RNA. Lineage: Eukaryota; Metazoa; Chordata; Mammalia; Artiodactyla; Suidae. The record is from RefSeq and is a predicted model, not a curated record.
GGAAGGCUGAUUCUCUCAGCAGAGAAAGGACUGUAAGCAGAUGCAGGGGGUAGGGGGGUGGUCCCCAGGAAAGAGAACCGGCGUGGCUCCCUGGACAUAACAGAAGCCACUUUCCUAAGCCGUGCUGAUCUGAGCUGGGUCUGGCCACCGACCCUGCCUUUGAACGGGUCUCUGUCAUACUGAUCUCGAGGAACAAAAGAACACCCGCCAUCAGGCUGAGGAGUAACAGCAGCAUCAGAGGGGUUUGCACGCUCCUCCGCUGGCCCCACAACGACAGCUGACAUCCAUCGGUGGCCUGGACCAGCCUGGGGAUGGUGCAGACAGAAAGCAAAUGAGAUCAGAGAGCAGGGAAUUCUCCAGGGAGCGUGAGGCUGUCACAGCCACCCCAGCGGCACAUGGAAGUUCCUGGACCAGAGAUCGAAUCCGAGCUGGAGCUGUGACCUCUGCCACCCCUGUGGCAACACCAGAUCACUAAUCCAUUGCUCCAGCCGGGGGAUCGAACCAGCGCCUCUGCAGAGAGAGUUCCUGCUGUGGCACAUGGGUUAAGGAUCCAACUACGGUGACUCAUUGGGUUAAGAACUCGACGUGGUCUCCUUGAGGAUACAGGGUCGACCCCUGGCCUCGCUCAGUGGGUUAAGGAUCCGGCGUUGCCUUGAUCGGCUCUUAACGUGAGCUUCCCAGUUCCUGGGCUGCAGGUCGAAUCUGAAGCUGCAUCAGCUACACAGCUUGUGACAACACCGGAUCUUUAACCCACUGAGAGAGGUCAGGGAUGGAACCCACAUCCUCACAGACACUAUGUCAGGUUCUUAACCUUCUGAACCCCAAGGGAAACUCCAGCCUCCACAACCCUCAAGGCGUUCUCUCUACCACCUGGGCUGCCCUCGCCCUCGGUCUGGGUUUCCUAUGGGCUUCCCCUUCGAAGUUUCUAGCACCCUGCAUUGUCACUGCUUGUUGAUGUGCCAUUUUCCUGUGAUAACUUCAAGUUUCACAACAGCAGGGACAGAGUCUGUCUUGUCCACCAAUACGUCCUAGCAAUUAGCACAGUGUGGGGUGCAGAGGGCCCCCAAAACAUUUUAGUGAGGAAACUCCUCUAUGACGCAUCAGUGUAUUCGAUUCCAUUUUGGCCACGUGUCUUCUCUAUAAGACACCUCGUGAAAGCAGGGUUCCCAUGUGGCUUGUUUACUGUGGGCCCCUGGGAGCAUCUGGACAGCACCCACUUGUGGAACUGGAUUGAAUAAAGAGGUUCAGACUCA